Alosa sapidissima (American shad) is the source of this 676-nucleotide long non-coding RNA. RefSeq lists it as uncharacterized. Lineage: Eukaryota; Metazoa; Chordata; Actinopteri; Clupeiformes; Clupeidae. The transcript is spliced from 3 exons. The record is from RefSeq and is a predicted model, not a curated record.
AACUCGACGGUCGCGUCUGUCACACUCACGCGUUUCCUUCUCUUCACAAGCAUUUGAAAUGAACCUCUGUGUGUCAGAGGGGCAGCUAUGCUAACAGACCCAACAACAAUAGAACAAAGUAGCCCAGAACUGGGGAUAGUGGCGAGAGAGAGACAAAGAGGGAGAGAGUGAGACGUGGAGAUAUGAAGAGAGAGAGAGAGAGAGAGAACCCCUCUGUCUAAAGCUAUUCCCUCCCCAUCCCGCGGCACCAGCUUGCCUUUCGUUAGUUAGUAAAAGCGCGUCAGUGCUUGCCGCAGGUACACAGACGCCCUAGAUUAUGAGACGCCAUCGACCCCAGUAUCUAACACCAACUACACAGUCCUGCUCUGGAGAAAAUGCAGGGAAAUACAUGGAGGAUGCUAUUCAGGAUCUAUCUAACAAUGUGAGAGACACCUGGGCUAAACCAGUUUACAGCGACAGUGGCAUUUUGACCGUCGGAUCACUUGCUCUCUCCUCAGCGUAAGAAAACCAAGAUGGAGCCGCUGGCCUAAGCCUGGACAAGGAGGAUGAUGGAGAAGCCACGGGAGAUGGACACAUCUUUUCAUGCGCCGGAGAAAAGUGGCCAAAAAUGGUUUCCUACUGAAUGUGCCAACAAAAUAUUGUCACCUUGUGGUGAAAAUGAAGACUGUCUAGCCAG